AACGUCGUGAGACAGUUCGGUCCCUAUCCGUCGUGGGCGUAGGAAAUUUGAGAGGAGCUGUCCUUAGUACGAGAGGACCGGGAUGGACAUACCUCUGGUGUACCAGUUGUCGUGCCAACGGCAUAGCUGGGUAGCUAUGUAUGGACGGGAUAAGUGCUGAAAGCAUCUAAGCAUGAAGCCCCCCUCAAGAUGAGAUUUCCCAACUUCGGUUAUAAGAUCCCUCAAAGAUGAUGAGGUUAAUAGGUUCGARGUGGAAGCGUAGCGAUACGUGGAGCUGACGAAUACUAAUCGAUCGAAGACUUAAUCAAUUU
RNAcentral lists this ribosomal RNA (311 nucleotides) under Staphylococcus agnetis. RNAcentral describes it as "partial 23S ribosomal RNA". It matches the Rfam family "Bacterial large subunit ribosomal RNA", at positions 2615 to 2925 of the family's 2925-position model. The record is from RNAcentral. Lineage: Bacteria; Bacillati; Bacillota; Bacilli; Caryophanales; Staphylococcaceae.